This is a long non-coding RNA of Gasterosteus aculeatus aculeatus (three-spined stickleback), 1123 nucleotides long. RefSeq lists it as uncharacterized. Lineage: Eukaryota; Metazoa; Chordata; Actinopteri; Perciformes; Gasterosteidae. The record is from RefSeq and is a predicted model, not a curated record.
GUCCAUUUAGUCCAUUUUAGUUUUAGUUCAAAAACAUGUCUGGGCAAAGUCUUUACUGUGAUGUAAACAGUGACUUUGCUAUUUCAUAUCAAGGUGGAACACACCGAACAGACACAUGAACUACUACAUGGUAUUUUACUGAUAACGUGAACCACACAGUGACUUCCUCGCCACACCGAUCCCUGUUACCCCCCACACGGCUCGAGGACCCGACACUGAUCGCUGCACACACGGUCUUGAAUCUAGCGUAACGUUACGUUUGGGCGUUUCGGCAGUGGGCGAACGUGUCCCGCGUGGGAGCGGUUGGUGCCACUGGUAGGAGUGACUGGCUGAUCCCGGUGGUGGUGGUUCCCUUCAUUUUUUCGUUGCAGUGCACCUCGCUGUCAAUAGUUGGUGUGUGGUUUGUUUUGUUUUUCACGUGUGGUGGAACAUUAGUUUUUUUUUAUUAUAAUUUGAUAUUAAAAUAAACUUGUAUACUUUUUUUUAUAGAAUAACGUCCUGUGUUGUCCGAACCUGUGUCUUGUCAUUGACCUCAGACUGGUGGUCCUUGUUAAUUCCUGGGGUGAAAUUCCCUUGGUGGCGUUGUUGGCUUUAAUAGUAAAAUACAGAUCUUCCUUCUUAGCAUUGCCACAGUUGCUUUGCUCCUUUUGUUUAGCAGUGUUAAUAUAAACUAACUUCACAUUUAGUUGUGUUUUAUGGAGCAGGAGGAAGCAGCACCAAGCUCUGUGUGGUGACAUUGAGCUAUUGUGGCUUUGACAUAUUCUGUAAUAUUUUACGUUAGUUAAAAUAGCUCGUAAAGUCAAUAAAUGUGUUUGCUGCUGCUGCCUUAAGAUUGCAAUUCUACAGUUGAAAGUACACGGUUUAACCGUGUUUGGACCAGGUCUGUGUGGAUCUUAUGCUAGUGUUUUACCGUUUAAACGAUAGAAUUAAAAUACAGAAAUACCAUUUUCUCCUGUUUUCGUUGUCAAACCAAAAAAAUGUAUUUAUUUGCCUAUAUACACUUUUAGCGUCAACACACAAUGGAACGUUUGUAUGCUAGACAAACGCGUAUACCAUUAGAAGACAAGUGAAUUAAUGAACAUGAAUAAAUCAUCCUGGGUCAAUGGGAGUGUGUUAACCACAA